ACUCACCACCUCUCUUCUGAACUGUAACCUCCUAAUAGCUUCUGGACUAACUCCUUCUUAAAAUCAUAUUCCACCCUAGAACUAAAGUGAAAAAUCUAAAAUCUAAAUUUGUCCUUUCAUUCUCCUGCUGCAGCCACCAACUUACACUUGUCAUUUGAAAACUCACCUUGCGAACUCUCUUCUCUGUGCCUUUGAUUAUGCUGGGAAUGCCCUGCCCACUUCCCUUAGCUUGUAAAUUCUUAUUCAUCAUUUAAGACAGAAUUCAGAUGUUAUCACUUUCACAAGCCCACAGGGUGAGUUGUGACUCCCUGUCAGAGCACCUUUUGACUAACUGGCCUGGGGAAUAGCUAGGAAGACUAGCAGUCUCCCAAGACAUUCCCUUGAUGAAUUGACCAGUUCAGGGUCCCGUACUCAACCUGAAAGAUUCAGAAACCUAAUUUCAUCAGCAUAUUGAGAACAGAGCCAUCUCUUAGUGACAGAAAAUGUAUAACUUCUUGAAAAAUGUAUAAAAUAAGAAUAGCAACAGAUUAAUUACGAUAAGAACUUUAACUGUCCUAAGAACUGUAAUACUGGAGUUUAUGAGACCAGUGCAUUCUUUCCUUGCAGGCAGACUUACCCAUGGAGAUGAAUGAGAAUCAGAACACUGGAAGUUAAAUAAAUCCAACAACUAAUGGAAUCAGGCUCAAAAAGUAGUGCCUAUAGCAGUUAUGGACAGAUCAGAUGUGGGUGUGAGAGAAAAGGUGAGAAGCUGGAAGUCGGAGUGGCCAUUGGCCAAGAAGCAGAAGACUGUGAAAGGAGCAGGUUGGAGGUGGACAGCUCUCAGGAGCUCAGUGUUGAGUAAGGUGAGUUUGAGAUGCCUGCUGGGCAUCCAGCCAGUGAGGUCAAGGAGGCAGUUUUCUCUGUGGUCUGUGAGAGUCUCGCUGAAGGUGUAAAGACUGGAUGAAGUCAUCAAAGAAGUAAGUAUUGUUAGCAAAGAGAAGGAAAGUUCCGAGGACUGAGCCCUGGGUACCCCAACAAUUAGAGUCGGAAACUGAGAAGGAUCCCUCAAAAGUGACUGAAAAUCCAGAGACGAAAGGAAAUUUGUGGUUGCCAGGGGCUGGGGGCAGGGGAAAUCAGGAGUGACUGCUACUGAGUAAGGGUUUCUUUUUGAGGUGAUGAGAAAGUUCUGGAACUAGAUGGCAGUGAUGGCUGUACAAUAUUGUGAAUGUAUUCAAUGCCACUGAAUUGUACGCUCCAAAAUGGCCAAAAUGGUCAAUUUUGUGUUAUGUAUAUUUUAUCACAAUAAAAAUUGUAAAAGUUAAAAAAAAGAAAGAAAAAGUGACUGAGGACAGCCUGAGAGUAGGAGAGCCAGGGGAGUGUGGCCCGGACAUGCACCCGUAGUCCAAAGCACCAGUGCUUCCUUCCUGGGUAUGGCAGCUGCCUCCUAACUUGCCAUCUGCUUAUACUUCUCUCUCUUCCCUCCACCAGGUCAAUUCUCAACGUAUCAGCCUAUGAUGACUGCUUUCUUAACUAUAUGUUUUUUCUACCCUCUGCAGGGUGAUGAAGGUUUGGAGAGGUUCCAACUGUGCCCCUGAAUCCUGAGAGGAAAGGAACCAGCCUCUAAGGAGGUGAUGGAAGGAAAGUGCAGAACUGGAGUCCAACCAACGCUGCUUCAACAGAGAAAAGUGCACCCGCUUUCUGUGGGUCGCCAGUGGAGAGGUGGAAAGAAUCAGACACCCAGGGGUCAAGGGACCCUGUGACCACAGACCUAGCUAAAAAGCAAAUGUUAAUUGUACAGCAACUGCCGUGGCAAGCAGUGAAGACAGCUCAAGUUCCUGUUCUCAGAGACCUUACAGUCAAGUAGAGAGAGA
Choloepus didactylus (southern two-toed sloth) is the source of this 1850-nucleotide long non-coding RNA. RefSeq lists it as uncharacterized. The transcript has 3 exons. Lineage: Eukaryota; Metazoa; Chordata; Mammalia; Pilosa; Megalonychidae. The record is from RefSeq and is a predicted model, not a curated record.